Non-coding RNA from Marmota flaviventris (yellow-bellied marmot), 1529 nucleotides. NCBI's taxonomy places the organism in Eukaryota, Metazoa, Chordata, Mammalia, Rodentia, Sciuridae. The record is from RefSeq and is a predicted model, not a curated record.
AAAUUCCACUCAUUAGAGCCUCAUAAAGUAAAAUACCUAGGAAUAAAUCAAACCAAGAAGGUAAGAGAUCUCUAUGAUGUAAACUAUAGAACAGUGAAGAAAGAAAUUGAAGAAGAAACAAGAACAUGGAGAGACAUCCCAUGUUUUCAGAUAGGCAGAAUAAAUAUUGCUAAAAUGAACAUAAAACCUAAAGCAAGUCACAGAUUUAAUGCAAUCCCCACCAAAAUACCAAUGAUAUUUUUUCACAGAACUAGAGUGUGGGGAGCCACACUGAAUGACCAUGCCUUCCAGUCCUGAUGCACCAGGCUCUGACCAGCCACUGCAUUAGUUGUGGCUUGGGCGCCAGACCCACUUGGAGAGCAAGGAGGUCUUCUUUGUGGGUGUGCCCCUAAGGUUGAGUUACUCUCACCUGUUCCCUUAUAAUCCUACCCCUUCUGCCCUUUUAUGGAUAGAACUUUCUAAAAACAGUGACCCCCACCCACCCCCAAAUAAAAAGCUGACUUCUGAACGUGUUCCCUCUUUCUCAUCAGCCUCUCAUGACUUUCUCUUGCUCUCUCUUUUGGGGAGCCUCAGGCCGAGAGCCAGGGAAGCGGACCUAAAGCUUGUGUAAUGUCUUCUCCACUGAAGAAUCAUGACGUGAGCAAAUGCCACUUACCGACUUGGUCAAGGAAACUGCUCCUGCUGGGAGUAGUGCAUGCUGUGUCUAGGUGCCCUCUGGAAUGAUGCUGUGUGAUUGAGUUGACACGUGCAACCCUGGGACCUUCAGCCCACCUCCAGGAGCACCAGGAGGAUCUGCAAGUUCCAAGGGUGCAAAGGUAGAGGUCAGAGGAGGGUCCCUUUGCCUUGGAGCUGGCAGGCCGCAUGGCAGAUGAACAAAAUCCCCCUGCCUUCCACAAAGACCAUGAAGGAAAGCAGCUUUCACCAUCACCGCUAACAGAGCUCCACACUGCGGCCCCUGGAGUCCCCACAGGGCCACCAGUGAUGCCGCAGCCACCAUCACUGCACUGGGACCAGACUCCUGCCACUACCAGAGGAUGAGAAUGCUCCUCUCUGGAUGCCUGGCUUGACGUUGCCACCUACAGACUCCUUGGUUGCCUUUGCCACCGCUGCCAUAACUGAACUUCAGACACCAAUACCUCCACAGAUUCCAAACGCCAAGGCUUCACUGCCCAGGCUCCUGCCCACGGCUGUCCUCCAAGCCUGAGGCCAAUUCUCCAUCCUGCCACUGAUACAUCUGGGCUCCUCAAACUGCCUUAAGACACCUAGGCUCGCUGUUUGACAUUCUCCCCACAGAUGGAUGCUGACACUGCUCCUGGUCACUGGGAACCUCCAAUGGGAAACCCUGCUGUGGAACGCUGAGGUUGGCUUCUAUAUGCUUCAGUCCCAGAAACCAGACUUCUUUCACAGCCACUAGAUGCCUUUGCAGGUGCCACCUAUACCUCCAGGCUUGGGAAGGGUCCAGCACAUGCCCUUCCAUGCCUGCUGCCUGUUCAUAUCUGUCCGUGGAAUAAACCAUUGAUUGGGUUAAA